This is a long non-coding RNA of Chelonia mydas (Green sea turtle), 7643 nucleotides long. RefSeq lists it as uncharacterized. The record is from RefSeq and is a predicted model, not a curated record. NCBI's taxonomy places the organism in Eukaryota, Metazoa, Chordata, Testudines, Cheloniidae. The transcript has 3 exons.
GCGUUAAAGGUGGCUAAGUGGGCCAAUUAACCACUUAAGCUGCACCUGGAGGAGGAGCCAGCGAGCAACUAAUUAAAGGAUUAAGCUCAGCUGGGUAGGAACAGGCAGAGCUUGUGAGAAACAGAUAGCUGAGAGCAGGCAGGGCUGGAGGAAGGAGAUCUGCAGUCACUCUCUCUGUGGCUGGGGAUCGUAGAAACAGGAAGCAGUCUAGGGAAACAGCUGCAAAGGGAGGAUAGUGCAGACCUUAGCUGCUGGUUGUGUGGGUCCCUGGGCUGGAACUUGGAGAAGAGAGGGCCUGGGAUCCCCUAACAGCUAGUGGAGAAGUAACACUAUUGAGAUGCAGUGAAUUGGAAGCCUGUGUGGAAUGGCUGGUACAGAAAGACUUUGGUACACAAACCCCCAUCCCCAGAAGGGGAAAACUGCAGUGACCUGUCUGGAAGACAGGGGUUGAGCCUUGUGAGGGAAAGAGACAGAGUGAGCACCUGCAGGAAGGGGCAUCAGACUGAAUGACCUUCUCCCCAGCCGUGGCUAUAAGGGGAGGGUUUCUGGUGGUUCUGCACUUUGGGACAAACUCUGCUUCCAGUUAUGCUCAAGCAGUUUCAUGGCACUUCAUGCAAUUGUCUAUAGCAGUGGUUCUCAACAAGGGGUAAAUGUACCCCUGGGGGUACGCAGAGGUCUUCCGGGGGUACAGUAACUCAUCUAGAUAUUUGCUUAGUUUUACAACAGGCAAUUGCACAGUCAGUGCAACUAAAAUUUCAUACAGACAAUGGCUUUAGACUGCUCUAUAUACUAUACACUGAAAUGCUUUGCAUGUGUCUUUCGUCUCCUUCAAUACACUGAAGAUGCCUAACAGAAGAAACGAAUCUACAGUAUCUUCUGAGUACAUGUGGUUCAGCAUAUUCUCCAACAAAUAGCCCAGCAUGAACUUUUUCAACAAAUUCAAAUGAAAUAGAGCUUGCAUAUAACAUAGCAAGGGUUAAGUCCCUAAUUUCUCCCAUAACUUAAAUUAACUAGCUUUCCUUAUUUGAAUAAGAUGUUGACCUAUUUGAAGUCGGAAUUCUAGGAAGAGAAACUUCUCCAGAGCAACCUGAUUUAAAAUAUUAAUGCUCCUUUGCUGCAAAAUGAGCUUCUUAACAGACACAGUUUAAAUUAGGGCCAGAUUUUCAGAAGUGAUCAGCUCCUGCUCCAAAAAUGCCAUGUACUUUUAAUGACAAUGUGAAUCUGGCCAUUUGAUUUAGGUGUGUAAAUUAGAUCUGUCUGGAGCUGAGCUUUUCUCAAAAUCUAGCCUUUAAACUUUUGUUCUUUCCCUUUAAUAAGGCGAUUCAGCCAUUUUAUUAAACAAGAUACCCCUGUAAUUGAUUGUGGUUGUCCAUGACAGAGACUUUUUGUAACUGUUUUGAAUUUGUCUAAAUGCUGGUAUACUAAUUUACCGGGUAAACCAAACCAUCCAUCUAACUUUAAAAAAUGCUCAUUUCUCUUACAAUAAAAACAUGAGUUGCCAAUGCAUACGAGCAGACUAACAAAAUAUAGUAUGUAAAAUGGAUAAGAAAAUCAAAAUACAAUGUCACACAGUAUCACACUGGAUUUCAAAAGCAAUCUACUAGCAGGCGCUACAGGAAAAAAGGAAUAAAAGCAACAAAUGAAUGGCUUAAUCUAAAGGCUACUGAAGUCAGUGGGAGUCCAAAAGGCUUUGAAUCAAACCACAAAACAAGCUAACUACAGUAAUUGAAAAGAAAGAUAAUAUAAAUUGGAGCGCCAUGUGAUAAAGCACUGACUUGUAGUUUGACUAGCCCCUGGUAAUGAGGCCAUCUUAUAUUUAUGCCCAUAAAUCCUUUAUUACAUCACAGAUUCAUUAAAUACAACUUUGCAUGUAUUGUAUGCCAAAUAUUCAAGCUGGCAGAACAGCUGUAGGAGCAGUUUAUUCAGGGACUGCUGCACUAGGAAGGGAGAGGUCAAAGGAGAUCCUGCUGCUGUGGCCAACCCUCUCCCUGCAGCAUCUCCCAGACCCAGAAAUGUGCAAAACACUCCUCUGUCCCCUGCCAUGUGGCUUUAAGAAAAGAAACUGCAAGGAAGCACCAGCUAGAAGCCAAACCCAGCAGAGAAGCAUCUAAAGCUGGGACUGAUGGACACUGAUAGGAUUUUCCACAAUUUUUACUGGAUUGUCUCUGCCCUGUGCUGACUGGUAGUUUGCUCCAAUCCCAUACUGCCCCGUCUCAAUCUCUUCACCUCAAUCUCACUCCACAUUGCCUGCCACUCAUAUCUUCCUCUUCAUCCCUGCUCUGACCCCUCACUUCUCUCCUUUUCCUUGCCUUGUCUUUCUGUGUAGCUAAUCUUCUAACACAUCCACUCUCCCACCCUCAAAAAUGGCAGAACUAACAUGCCCGUUGUCACCAUCACAUUGAUUGCUCUGCUUAUGUGUUCUUAUCCUUUCCGCUACUCCCUGCCUCUCUUGUCUAUUUAGAAUGUAAGCUCUUCAGGGUAGGGACUCUAUUACUAGUGUUUGUACAGGACUAGCACAAUGGGACUAUAGUAUUGGUUGGUCCAUUGAUGCUACAACAAAUAACAUGCCUUACAAUUAUCUAUCAGAGGAAACGCUGCAAGAAGAAACUCACAGGGGGGCUUCCUUUUCAUGGGCCGCCUCCCACCAGACUUUCUGUGGAAGGGAUGAUCUCAUCAUGGUGAGAUCUAUUAAAAGUACAAACAUCUCACAAGAUCAGUGGUUAAAUCUCAUAUCUUCAGCCAUUUAAGCUGUACAAAUAGCUUAGAGUGCAGUCCUUCAUUGGUAGUGAACUAGAUGACCUAAUAAGUUGUUUCCAUUUCUAAUGUCUAAAAUCCUUUGAUUUGCCUCACCUAGAAAUCAGAAAGUGCAGUGGCAAUAUUCAAUCUCUUGCAGACAUAGCAAGUGGAAGACAGAGUCCAGACUUGGAUAGAAUCUCCUACUUUUGGCUGUUUAAUGUUGCUUAAACUGAAUUGUUCCAUAAAUGGUUAGACACUCUUGAUAAUGUGACUAUAGCGAUGGAUCUUGGAUAUAUAAAGUGUCACAGAUAUCCUCAUUUAAAUGCAUGUCUGCCAAGAGUCAAUGACCCAUUCCUUAAAAUGUGAUGUAAAGUCAAAAAUCACCAAAAUUCUGCAAAUCUUUGAAAACAUCUGCAGAAUUUGCCAGACCUUUCUGCACACUUCUAAUUGACCUGCAAUUACUUAGUAUAAUUUUCCAUUAUGCACUUUUUAAAAACUUACUAUGUAGUCUAAAGUGUUUCUGCCAUAUUCUGGAAACAUUGGAAUAUUCCCCAUAAUUCUCUUUAAAAUCAGAAUUUCCCAACACCAUUUACCAAGUUUUUCAAUAUUUUCCCAGUGGUCUUACCCAUUAACUUCUUAUUGCUCACUUACAGCUUUUCAGGACUCUCACUUGUACCGAUCAUCAUUCUUCCAUAAAUUCCUGUGCAGCAAAGACCAAGGCUUCUGAUUGUAUCAGGAAAUCUCUGUGCAUAUCCUUUCUGCUGUUGGAACACUGCACCAUUCCUAAGCCACUAAUAAAACUUGUAGUAGAAUCCUCUUCUGCAAGUCCAUUUAAUUUCAUGUUCUCAGUCUUCAGGUUUCUUGAUUUAUCCUUCCUUGGACUGUUUCUUUCUCCUUCAUAUGAAGACAGCCCUUUUGAUGUUACCCGCAAUAUCCACAGACUCUAUGGGUUUUAAUCUCUUGUCUUGCUUCAGGUUUCAGAGCUUCUCUCCCUUUUGCCCCCCACACAUUGAUCAAGAGCUCCCUAGUGAAAGAUCUAGAUGCCUGUUUAACUACCGUACUCAGUGUUUCAAAAUCGUUCGUCAGGACUUGGAUUGUGGCCAUCAGAAUCUGGAUAUUUUGGGUCAUGCAGUUACUCCCAUACUUUCUUCACCCCCUGCAUCUGGAAGACAGAUAAAUCCUCCAGUAUCUUGUUUAAUCUUAUCUCAUAUUAAUUUUAGUUAUGAGGAUAAGUUAAGAGCUGAUUCCUGGCUAUUAAGCUGAGUGAAGCUGAACUGGAUUCAGGGGUCUGUGACGUGUUGCGUUACCACAAAAUGGCGUUUGAGCAACAUGUCCCGAGAUUGCUGGGAUGGUAAACUGUGCUAUCAAGAUCUUUACUAUAUUCUAAACUUCCUUGACUCAUAGUAGGCUUGGCCAUUGUCAUUCUAAUAAGUUAGCCCUGUGCCUGUCUAUAUUAGCUCUUAGUCAAAUGCAUGAGCCAUUUGCAUGAUUGUCAGUGCAAACUUCCAUUACUAAAACCCAUUAAAUUCCAAGGCUUUCAUUGUCAUAAAUGACAGCUGCAUUGUCCUAAAUAUGCAUCCUGUGCUGCUGAGUAGCCCAACUGUUAGGGCCUCCAGAGGAGUCUAUGCAUUCAACUCAUUGCUAUUAAUUCACUGGGCUCCUUCCCUUCAUUUCACAUUAUUAGCACAAUUCACUGAAUGUAACUAUGUUACAUUCAAACAAUUAAACCCUUUUGAACGGGGGGGAUGUCGUGGUGUUGCAGAUGCCUACAUCUGCUCAUAUUCAGGUUUUUAUCUCCAUACAAUCACCCAUCCUUGUUUUGGGGGUUGUUGUUUUUUUAAAGUACACGGGGCAGAGCCUAAGCUGCUGUAAAUCAGUGUAGCUCCAUUGACUUCAUUGGAUUUAAACAGGCUGUCAGUCUGGCCCAUAAUAUCCUCCUGAGAAUGGUGGAACUAAGGGGGAUGAGUGUCCCAAAAAUGUAGUCAACAUGUAGUCAACAAGUGAAUAUUUAGGAGCAGAAUGAAAAUAUUCUACUUGUCUAUUCUGUUAAUUAGCAAUGAUGAAAUAGCUCACAUGUAUCUUCUGCCAUAUGAUGCAAACAGUGCUUUAAUCGCCUGACAACAGGUAAGCUACUGAACCCAGUGGCAGUUGUCAGAGGACCGAGAUGUGUAGGGUGGAGUCCAGAAGGUGACAAAAAGACAGUGGAGAAGCAAGAUGGCCAAUAAGGGCUGAGCAAAGAGAAAAUGGUGAAGGAAAGGAAGGGUGACAGAAAAUGGAAGGAAAGGGGACAGAAGCAGAGAACAGCACAGGGGAAAGAAAGACGGGAGAGCUAGAGACAAAUGUAAGACCCCCUGCCUGAAAUAGGACCUCUUGUCAGUUUGUUUUGGGAAGAAAGGAAUAGAAAUUGAAUAAGAACUCAACCGCAGUAAAAAUGGUAGGAAACCGUACAGCUAAAAUGAGCCACCGAAGAAAGGCUAUUCGUUUCCAUUAGUGGAAGGGAAACAUCAUGACAAAGGAAAGAAAAUAUUGAUAUGUAGUUAUGUAUGAUGUGGGUACACAGAAUCACUGGUAAACAAAAUGCUAGUCUCAAACUAUCCUAAAUUUAGUGAGAUGCAAACUCAGUGUUAUGUAUCAUGCUUUGCUCAUUCAACAACAAAAUCUUUAAAUAGUUUUAAUUAAACUUAGCAUUUUGGGAUAUUUAAAACACUCAUCCAUUUGAAAAAAAAAAUGGGAAAAUAACAUAGGGUGAACUCCUGGACCUAUUGGCGUCUAUGGGAGUUUAAAAUUCCUUUGAAAUAAAGGGGAAGAGACUUUAUGCACUACAUAGUCUCUGGUUAUGAUGAUUUUUAGGGUAGUAUUUGACACCAGGGGGCAUCCAUUAAUGAAAUUUUUAAAAAUAUUGAGAAUUACAACUUUUUUUUUUAAGCGCUAUAAAGUUAAAAACUAAUGCCUCUAUCCUGGAGGUUACUCUGUAGUUUUGGAUCAUUGUGAUUCCCCCCCCGGCCAGUCGGCAGUGGGAUAAGGGAGAGGGGACUUCACAGAAUUGUGACAAAUUGCGAUGACAAGGCCAAGUGAGUAGCUUGUAAUUCAGAGGAAUGAAGUGAAAUCAUUGGGAGGGCAAAAAAGACAGUGUUUAUACAAUUGCUUUGUUGGUAUAAACAUACAUCUCCAAGGUGGCUGUAUGAUUUCAUUUCGAGAUGGGGAACAACUCCUUGGGUCAUCCCAUCUCUGUUUUUCAUAAUACUUCUACUAGUGUUUUGUCCAGUCUAGGUUUAAAUGUGUCACUUGGAGGGACUUUCUAACCCUUUAUUUAGGAGAAUAUCCCAUGAGCUUAUAAAUCAAUGUGAGGUAGUUUUUCCUGGUACUCAGACAUUCUUAAUUUUAUUCUGUUCUCACUUACAUCCUUUUGUAUUCUCCAAAUAUUUCUUUUCCUUGGUGAUAUGAAUACCCAUCAAAUAUUUGUAGGUUGUCACCCAUAGUCAUCACUGAACCAGUCUACAUUUAUUUUAAUCUCUCCUCGUAGUAAGUGACUCCCUGCUGCCCCUCAGACAUUUUGAAUGUUCAUUAAACUCAUUCCAACUUGUCAAUCUUUCUAGAGGUGUCCAGAAAUGAACAGAAAACAGUAAGAAAGACAUGAUCAUAUAAAUAUUCUUGGAUCUGAUUCUUCCUCAUGUAUAAUAGAGUAAUUCUUGCUAACCGUGGUAGGAGUCAAUCUUAUUUUGGAAAGGGAGUUUCAUUAAUUUAUUUAACUGAAAGCAUGUUAAAUUUUCACCAUGAAUCUCUCCUAAUGGCUCUUCAAAAUUCAGUAAUGAAAACUCAGAGCAAAAACCAGGCAUUAGUUGUAACAAUAGAGAAAUAUAAGUAGAUGCAGCAUUUUGCCCCAAAAGUUUACAAUCUAAAUUAGUCAUACCAUAUACUAGGUAAGUAUUCAAAAAAGUAAAGGGGUGCAGACACCAUUAUUUCCAUUACUGUAGCAUCUAGGAGUCUUAGUCAAGGACUGUGCUAGAUGCACUCCAAAAACAAGAACAAAAGGUGGUCCCAGCCCCAAAAAGCUUACAAUCUAAGUAUCCGACAAGUAACUACUGAUACAGACAGGCAGAUGGGGAGAGUAAAGGAAACGAUGAGUCUUUAUUGGCCAUCCUGAUUGGCAGUGGUCUCAGCACACUGGCAGCCUAACUGUUGCCAAGUUUUUUUUGGUAAGCAUUAUGGCAAAGGAGGGUUUUAAAGAGAAAUGCGUAGAAGGAUAACAUGGAACUGUAGAUAAGAUCUGUGUUAGGAAGGGUUGCACACGCAAGAGGAAAGAUUUCUCUUGACUCAUAAGAAAUGGGAGGGAAUGCCAAACAUGGGCUGGCAUGCUAACACCUGGGUGAGAAAAGAUAAAAGAGUAGUUAUAUUGAGGAAGGUUCUGAGAGAGGAGUGAGUGAGCAUAUUCUUUAAGGGCAUGAUCCCAAAUCCAUUGAUACCAAUGGAAGUAUUCAUUAACUUUGGUGAGAUUUGGAUCAAGCCCUAAACACACAACUUGUAUACUAUGGGUGAAAUUCUGGGCCCACUGAAGUCAAUUGGCAUUUUGCUAGAAUUUCCUGCUAUGUGUAUAUAUUGUAAGUCCAAUAACAAGUUGUGCCUAAAACAGCUGACUAAUGUGAUUAAGCACCUCCAAAUUCUGGGCCUGAUUCUGAUCUUGUCACACUGAUUUUACACUAGAAUAACUCAACUGAUUUUAAAAAACAAGCCUAUAAUUGGAAAAAAAUCAUUUCUUCAAAACACUUCUUUAAAUGGUUACGAAGGCAACUGUGUAUCAGAACCUCAAUUAUCAAAUGUCUUUUAUCAAAUAUUGCUUUAUCAUACCACCUAAAUUAAAAUCUUCUGUUGAAAGACCCUAAAUACGUUUUAGAGCCACAGUCAGUCAA